GAAGGUGUUUUUCGGAACAACGGAAGGUGAGGACAGUGGCGGAACGGGUGAGUAACGCGUGAGGAACCUGCCUUUUCAGAGGGGGAACAACAGUUGGAAACGACUGCUAAUACCGCAUGACACAUAGAGAUCGCAUGGUUUUUAUGUCAAAGAUUUAUCGCUGAAAGAUGGCCUCGCGUCUGAAUUAGCUAGUUGGUGAGGUAACGGCCCACCAAGGCGACGAUCAGUAGCCGGACUGAGAGGUUGACCGGCCACAUUGGGACUGAGAUACGGCCCAGACUCCUACGGGAGGCAGCAGUGGGGAAUAUUGGGCAAUGGGCGCAAGCCUGACCCAGCAACGCCGCGUGAAGGAAGAAGGCUUUCGGGUUGUAAACUUCUUUUGUCGGGGACGAGUAGAAGACGGUACCUGGCGAAUAAGCCACGGCUAACUACGUGCCAGCAGCCGCGGUAAUACGUAGGUGGCAAGCGUUGUCCGGAUUUACUGGGUGUAAAGGGCGUGUAGCCGGGAAGGCGAGUCAGAUGUGAAAUCCACGGGCUUAACUCGUGAACUGCAUUUGAAACUACUUUUCUUGAGUAUCGGAGAGGCAAUCGGAAUUCCUAGUGUAGCGGUGAAAUGCGUAGAUAUUAGGAGGAACACCAGUGGCGAAGGCGGAUUGCUGGACGACAACUGACGGUGAGGCGCGAAAGCGU
This 690-nucleotide ribosomal RNA is filed under the name uncultured bacterium. RNAcentral describes it as "bacterial SSU rRNA". It matches the Rfam family "Bacterial small subunit ribosomal RNA", at positions 66 to 762 of the family's 1533-position model. The record is from RNAcentral. RNAcentral also lists the same sequence under 1 other name.